This 236-nucleotide ribosomal RNA is filed under the name uncultured Candidatus Saccharibacteria bacterium. Its description in RNAcentral is "partial 16S ribosomal RNA". It matches the Rfam family "Bacterial small subunit ribosomal RNA", at positions 583 to 818 of the family's 1533-position model. Lineage: Bacteria; Candidatus Saccharimonadota. The record is from RNAcentral.
AUAAGUGAAUAGUGAAAUCUGAUGGCUCAACCAUACAGGCUAUUAUUCAAACUGUACAACUCGAGAGUGGUAGAGGUCACUGGAAUUUCUUGUGUAGGAGUGAAAUCCGUAGAUAUAAGAAGGAACACCGAUGGCGUAGGCAGGUGACUGGACCAUUUCUGACGCUAAGGCACGAAAGCGUGGGAGCGAACCGGAUUAGAUACCCGGGUAGUCCACGCCGUAAACGAUGGAUACUG